Long non-coding RNA from Vespula pensylvanica (western yellowjacket), 2242 nucleotides. RefSeq lists it as uncharacterized. NCBI's taxonomy places the organism in Eukaryota, Metazoa, Arthropoda, Insecta, Hymenoptera, Vespidae. The record is from RefSeq and is a predicted model, not a curated record. The transcript has 3 exons.
AGAAAAAUUGAAGAAAUUAAAGAAAUUAGUUCAUAUCGGUAAAACAAAAAGUUUCAAGGUCGUCGAUAAUAAUUUCCAUUUUUCGAAAUAGAUCGAAGAGGUCUUUUUAUUUUUAUUAUUUUUUUUUCACCAGUAUAUGUACAUAUAUAUUAUAUGAUGUUCGUUAUUUUACGUCGAGUUAAUAGAUGUAUUUUCUAGACAUAGACCUUCGCAAGAAAGAAAACACGUGAUUAUAAUAUUCUACUCGAUAGAGAGAGAAUGCAUGUUUUUUUUGCGUACGUGGAUAUAUCUACUAGGCUGGAUGCACCCAUUCGUCGUAUACUUUCGUGUACGAUCGUGCUCCGAGGGUCAGCAGCGUGCAUGCAUGCGUGCAUGCAUAUAUGUAUGUGUCGUGUGUGCUUGCUGCGUACGUGCGUGCGUCGUACGCUUGUCUUCUUCGUUAUGUAAAAUAGUAUUUUUAUAAAGGCAAAACAGUGUACGCAAGGUCCAUAAAGUCACGAUGUUAAAGAAAAAAAGAAAAAAGGCGAGAAAGAGCACGUAAAAGAUAUGAUGACGAUGACAUUCGGAUUAAUCAAAAACAAAGAUUCGUAAGAAAAUGUCAAAUACAUUACCACGUGGAAAAAAAGCAAAAAGAAGAAGAAGAAUAAUAAACAUAAAUGCUGGCACGGAAUUGGGAAUUUUUAAAAUCUCGUCAGUCUUAAUUACGAUAUUCGAUUCAUCUAUUUAUCUAGACUAAAUGUUCCACGGACGUUUUACUGCCAGCCGAUUCACUAAAAGUGCCAAUUUGGGCACAUACUCGAUGUUAACAAAAUUUAAAUAAACGACAAAAAGAAACAAAAAAAAAGAGGAAAGAAAACAAAUCUGUGAAAACGUGCAAAACACGAAACACUGUGUUCCCUUCUCAAAAGAGACAAAUAGGUGUGUGUGAUAUAUAUAUAUAUGUAUGUGUAUUAGUAGAAAUUGGAAUAGGAGCUCCAGACAUUAAAUCUCGUCCUUCUAUUGUUUUUGGAAAUGCUAUAACAUUUCUGAUACUUUCCGUAUUACAGAGUAUACAGACAAGACGAUCCAGACCUAAAAAGUAUGUUUUGUUACAAGAUAUUUCAUAUCUUCUGGAUGAGGUUGUGUAAAUGGAUGAUGCAUACUUUCUAACAACUGUGAUUCAUUUACUUCAAAUAAUGGAAAAUCUAUAAGCCAUAAAAAGUUAUAGCCAGACGAACGUAUUUUUAAAUUAUUAUUUUCCAAUACGUUUGUAAAUUCAAUUCGUAAUUUUCCUAAAAGUUUUUGCUAAAAUAUGUAUAACAUAAUUUUUAUUUGUUAAGUUAAUUCGACAUAUUUAAUAUAAUAAUUUAUACUAUAUUAUUACAUACAGAAUCAAGCUUAGGACCAAUGGUUAAAAAUAGAAUGUCUCCAAUAUUCAAGUUCAACAUUUGUAUUAUAUCUUCUGCUAUAUUUGCAGAAAAUAAUUUGUCCAAUUGUAAUUUCCAAGAAUUAUCAGAAAUUUUUAUUUGAAACAAUUUGGUAGCUGAAAAAUAUUUGUUUUUUAUAUUGUUAAAUUCUUCCCUAACAGAACGUGUUAAGUAUUCCUAUAAAAUAUAAUAUAUAGAAAUCAGUUCAAAAAACAUUAUUUAAAUAUAUAUAUCUAUAUUAUGAAAUAACCCACAUGUUUAUCGGGAAAAACCAAAGCACAGAUUUCGCAAUCUUUGUUAUUUGUUAACUUAAUAUUUUCCUCCAAAACAGUCAUAUUAAUAAUUUUUUUAAGAUAUUGAAUCUGAAAAAAUGAUAUAAUGCAUAUUUAGUAGGUAAUGCUGAAUAUAAAAUUUAUGUAUGCAUGCAUUUGUACAUGCAAUUUUCUUACUUCAUAAGGUAUUCUCAAAUCUGGUUGAUCUGUACCAUACAACCUCAUUGCAUCAUCAUAAAUCAUGCGUUUAAAAGGUGUAGUUAUAGUUUCUGGCCAACUAUACCUUAGUAGAUUUUCAAUUAAUUCCAUUAUACCAUUUUGAUCAGCAAAUGACAUUUCAAUAUCUAACUGUAUAAUUACUUCAUUAUAAAUUUUAAUAAUGCAUAUGUAAAAAAUAGAUACUUAAUCAUCUACCUGUGUGAACUCAGGUUGUCUAUCAUGUCUUGCACUUUCAUCUCUAUAACAUCGAGCAAUUUGAAAAUACCUAUCAAUUCCACCUACCAUCAAUAAUUGUUUGAAUUGUUGUGGACUUUGUACAAGGGAAUAAAAUUUUCCUGCAUGUCU